RNAcentral lists this long non-coding RNA (284 nucleotides) under Heterocephalus glaber (naked mole-rat). Its description in RNAcentral is "lncRNA (ENSHGLG00000031235.2)". Lineage: Eukaryota; Metazoa; Chordata; Mammalia; Rodentia; Bathyergidae. The record is from RNAcentral.
GUGACCUGGACUUUUGAAUGGUGUCUGAAGUUGGGGCAGCCUUGUGGGAUAGAACCUUUAAACUGGUGGAAUCUGAUGGUAAUCCCAGAAAUGGAUCAAAUGGUUGAACAGCCAGCUGGUGUCACAGAAUGGCUUGGCCUCAGGAAAGAUCUCAGAGGAAUAUGAACAAAACCUGCAGUGCACAGAGAAACACGCCCACGCUCCCACAAGAGGUAGCCCUUCAACCUGGGGCCAGGAAUGAAACCGAUAUGGAGGAAAGUGGUGUGGACAAUGUGACAUGAGUG